This is a long non-coding RNA of Equus asinus (donkey), 1585 nucleotides long. Lineage: Eukaryota; Metazoa; Chordata; Mammalia; Perissodactyla; Equidae. The record is from Ensembl.
CUAAGGAAUUGGAAAGUACAUAGAUAAGGGGAACACCUUAUCUUGAAAAGUGCUGUAGUGUAUAUCCUCCAUAGGCUGGGAGUGAACCUAAGAGAUGCUGCCAUUGAAAUGCAAUCCCUGAUAUCAGUAGGGAUGACAGGAGCCUGGAGUGGCAGUGGCCAAGAGACUGUACCAUGGCAACAGAGCUGGAGUGAUGAAACAGAACCUACUAAGGUCCUAGCUGGUUUGUAUAACAAAGCAAAAUUCCAGGUCUGGCAAAGAGAAGCCUGGUUUGAGUCACCAAAAUGGAGAGUUAUGGACAGUCACUAAAUUCUCAGACCCAAGGCCCUUGAAUAAACGGGUGCUGGGUACCCUGGAGGAAGCACCCAGCAAUAUCACCAUAAGUGAAUUGGACAUCUUUUAGUCUUCCACAAACGAAUCUUAAGGCAUUUACCUAUGUUCAUCUAUUUAGGGAAAUGGAAAUACCCAGGCUUUUGGGGAAUACUUAGAAACCGGCCCUAAGCCACCAGUAAUCCCAAGGGACCUAAAAGGUCUUUGUGGUCCACUAGUUAGAAUAGAGGCUUAUGGGGGUGUUAUGGGUUGAAUUAUGUCCCCCAAAAUCACUAUGUUGGAAUCCUAACCCCCAAUACCUCAGAAUGUGACCCUAUUUGGAAAUAGGGUGGUUGCAGAUGUGGUUCAAGUAAGAUGAGACUGUACUGGAGUAGGGUGGGCCCCUAAUCCAGUGUGAUUGGUGCUGUAUGAUAAGGGGAAGUUUGGACACAGAGACACAAGUGCAGAGAGAACACCAUGUGAAGACAAAGGCAGUGAUGGGGAUGAUGCAGCAGAAGACAAAGAAUGCCAAAGAUCGCCAGCAAACCACCAGAAGCCAGGAGAGAGGCCUGGGGCAGAUUCUCCCUCACAGCCCCCAGAAGGAACCAACCCUGCCAACCCUUUGAUCUCGGACUUCCAGCCUCCCAAACUGCACAGUUGUAGCAGACAUACUUGACCGCUGGCAGAAUCUUCACAGUGACCCACAGAGUGAAAGCUAUUGUGGUGGGAAGAGCAAAGGAAAGUCCCUGGAACUGUCCUUCCCCACCAGAUCAUAAUCCAAAAGCGACAGUGCAUCCCUGAGGGCACGACAGAUAUUACCGUCACCAUCAAAGACUGAGAAAUUUGGGAGCGCUGAUCUCUAUCUUAUCUGCGUGUAAAUGAUUUGUUUGCCCUGUGCAGUACUUGAGUUGUAGCUGUUACAAUCUCUUUACGAAGCAAGUCAACACCUGCCCUGGCACCUGCAGACAUGCAAGUAUCAGUCUGAAAUAUGCUUUCUUCUGUAGCCCAAAGAGCAGAAAACAUCAAAGCAGGUUCCUUUCACCUGUCAGGGUCAACAGUCCAUCUUACUGUCCCACACCUGGGCAUAUCACCUCUCCAGCUCUGCUGAAAUCUCCUCUGCAGUCGCUUUAAUCAUCUCACCUUUCCCAGAACAUCACUCUACAUGUGGUGACGUGUUUUUGGACCUAAUAAGCAAGAAGUAGCAGGUGAGUCACCACCACAGCAUGGCUGCUAAUAGACUAGUGGUGGAGGUCCACACCCGGGAUCUGAACCCAGG